Molecule: long non-coding RNA, 1557 nt
Organism: Hippocampus zosterae (dwarf seahorse)
Lineage: Eukaryota; Metazoa; Chordata; Actinopteri; Syngnathiformes; Syngnathidae
Exons: 2
Source: RefSeq, a predicted model, not a curated record
CUGAUCAGAGUCCCCUGAAGAUGACCCAGGACAAGCUGAAAAGUCUGUCUCUCAGCUGGCUUGGGAAUGCCUCAGGAUCACCAGCAAGAGCUGGAGUUGUUUGGGAGGGUGAAGUCUGAACUUCCCUGCUUUAGUUGCUGCCCCCGUGACCCGACAUUGGAUAAACGGAAGAGAAUGAAUGAAUGGAACACUGAGAUACAUUUAGAAAUUAAUCGUAACUGGUUGAACUUUCUAAAGACUAAGAAAAAGUUAAAAAAUGAAAGUGAUAAAGCUUCAGUUUUCUAUAAGUGUAAUCACAAUUUGGAAAAAUCUUUUUCCAUAGGAGAAAGAAGUGAGAAUGAUAAUCCGUGCCAAUUAACACCCAAGAGACGGACACCAUUUUCAAAUAAAGACAGGCCAUCAUCAGAUGAUGAUGAAAUUCCAUCAAGUAUUCCUGCCAAGAGAUCUUCCUUCAAAGUACUUCUAGGAAAGAGGAAGAGAACUCCCUGGCAGGAAAGCGAAAUAAAGGCGGUGGAAAGGCACAUGAUGGGACUCAUCAAAUCUUUUUGCGUCCCAGGAAAAAUGGAUUGCGAAAGAUGUUUAAGGGCUGAACCAGAAGCCCUUAAAACACGAGACUGGCAAACCCUCAAGUAUUAUGUUUAUAACCGCAUUUCGGCUGCCAAAAAGAAAUUGCAGCACAAAUAAGUUUUCAAUCAAUCUGUUGAGGCACUUUUAUUUUCAUUAUGGAUAUUUCACUUUGAAUGUAUUUUAAAACAAUGUCAACAGUUUGUUUGAUGUUUGUUUAAGGUAGACCAUAGGUGUCAAACUCUGGUCCUGGAGGGCCGCUGCCCUGCAUGUUUUCCAAGUCUCCCUGUUGCAACACACCUGAUUCAAAUGAUCAGAUCAUCAGCAAGCUCUGGGCAAGCCUGACAUUGAACCUGUUCAUUUGAAUUUGGCUGGAUCUUUGAUUGCAACAACAUGCCAGAAAUGUCUUCCAUUCUCUGAAGCAGACAUAUUCGAGUCACAUGACAUUUAACAAACAAAAUAUAUCAAAAUAGAUUAUUUCAACGAUUAUUAUUCAAAUGAAUUGACUUUCAUUUGACAGUUGGGUUCAGAUGCUUGCCAUUUUUGAUGAGUAAUGCACUUUGUGUGAGGUCCCCAGUAAUCACAUGUACUUGGUAUAGAUCCUGUGUGAAUUAUGUAAAUACAUUUAAAUAUAUUUAAAUUAAGUCCUCAUAAGGCAUGUAAACUGGACUUUUCUGAAGUCCCCAUAUGACAUGGUCCAACCACAUGACUUCAUAAAUUCUGAUAUUUAAAGGUGUUUAUAAGCUAACACCACCACCUUGUGUAUCCCUGAUUUUUUGCAGAGCUCUAUGUCAUUUAGAAAGGGUGGUCCCCGAAAGUGAUGAACUAAAAAGUAGUCCCCACAAAUCACAUAAACCGGUCUGUGUGUGUGUGUGUGUGUGUGUGUGUGUGUGUGUGUGUGUGUGUGUGUGUGUGUGUGUGUGUGUGUGUGUGUGUGUGUGUGUGUGUGUGUGUGUGUGUGUGUGUGUGUGUGUGUGUGUGUGUGUGUGUGUG